AUUGAACGCUGGCGGCAGGCCUAACACAUGCAAGUCGAGCGGAGGAAGGGAGCUUUCGCCUGGAUUCAGCGUCGGACGGGUGAGUAAUGCCUAGGAAUCUGCCUGGUAGUGGGGGAUAACGUCCGGAAACGGGCGCUAAUACCGCAUACGUCCUGAUGGAGAAAGUGUGGGAUCUUCGGACCUCACGCUAUCAGAUGAGCCUAGGUCGGAUUAGCUAGUUGGUGGGGUAAAGGCCUACCAAGUCGACGAUCCGUAACUGGUCUGAGAGGAUGAUCAGUCACACUGGAACUGAGACACGGUCCAGCCUCCUACGGGAGGCAGCAGUGGGGAAUAUUGGACAAUGGGCGAAAGCCUGAUCGAGCCAUGCCGCGUGGGUGAAGAAGGUCUUCGGAUUGUAAAGCACUUUAAGUUGGGAGGAAGGGCAGUAAGUUAAUCCCUUGCUGUUUUGACGUUACCAACAGAAUAAGCACCGGCUAACUUCGUG
RNAcentral lists this ribosomal RNA (484 nucleotides) under uncultured bacterium. RNAcentral's name for it is "partial 16S ribosomal RNA". It matches the Rfam family "Bacterial small subunit ribosomal RNA", at positions 30 to 507 of the family's 1533-position model. The record is from RNAcentral.